This is a non-coding RNA of Misgurnus anguillicaudatus (oriental weatherfish), 1040 nucleotides long. NCBI's taxonomy places the organism in Eukaryota, Metazoa, Chordata, Actinopteri, Cypriniformes, Cobitidae. The record is from RefSeq and is a predicted model, not a curated record.
GACACUGCACGAUAAUGAAACCUUUAGUUAAAGUCGAUUAAUAUUUCUGUUUUUAUUAAAUAAAUAUUCUAUGUUAAAUGGGCUCUAAACAGGCAAUUUCGGUCCCGGACGCAGCACUGGAAGAAGCACUUUACUUUCAUCUUUUAUAUCUUUAUUUACUUUUAUUAUGUUAUUUUUGGCGGAGGCGCGUAAGGCGCGUGUCCGUCCCUCGAAUGCUUUGUGAUCACGUGAUUAUUCAAACGGGAGACGCGCGAUCUGGAUUAACCGCUAUUCUCCUCAGACGUGGUAUUAUGAGAUCCCUUUCUUGGUGUGUCUUGAUGUUUUAUAUUGGCUAAAGACAAGAUAUAUCUGCAAAUGCCGGUUCCAUGUCACAUGGCUUAUUCGAGACUAGAUCCAUAAAAAAAUCUGCAGGUGAGUGGUCAUCAUCAUGAGAAAUGUGUUUGCUCACUGCAAUGUUUAAUAGCAGGUUGCAAAACAACUUCAUAGGUGCAUACCACCACCUACUGUAUCAGGAGCCCCAUAUAGUCUAUAUGUGCCCUCAUGCUGUGCACCCGAUACAGUAGGUGGCAACCCGCUAUUAAACAUUAGAUGAAUAAGAAGGUAAUGUGAAUGCGCGUAUUGCUCUGGGGAUAGUGUUGUAUUAAAGGUUAAAAAAAAAUUAUAAAUACUGUUCGGUUUUUCACACAAACCAAUUGUUUCAUGUCUUAGUAUAUUAAAGUGUUGUCAUGAGCCACAUGGUUUAAUUUGGAUUUGUUUGUGCAUGUUUUUUUAUUUCUAUCAGAUUUUGUUACCAUCAACUUGCAUUAUACAACUGACAGACUGAAACGGUUGGACACAAAAAUCUACAUUUGUGUUCCACUGGAGAAACAAAGUCACCUACAUCUUGGAUGGCCUGGGGACUACCUGACCUGUUCCUGUUAAGAGCUAGUCACUCUUUGUGGAAUGUUCCUGGCCCAUUUUUUUCCAAGUUUUUACAAAAGUUUUUUCAAUGACCUCAAAAUUGAUGUGUAAAAAUAAUAAUAAACUUGAAUUUGUUUAAA